Callithrix jacchus (white-tufted-ear marmoset) is the source of this 3349-nucleotide long non-coding RNA. The record is from Ensembl. Lineage: Eukaryota; Metazoa; Chordata; Mammalia; Primates; Cebidae.
GUGGAUUCACUGUGCUGCCAAGGUUGAGGAUGCGCCACGCCUAUUGUUGAGCACUCAGCGGAUCCCUGGAGGCGCGCGGGGACAGCGCUAAACUGGAAGCCAGGACACCUGGGCUGUCGGGUCUUGCUCUGUCGCCCAGGCUGGAAGUUCAGUGGCACAAACUUGGCUCAUUGCAACCUCUACCUCCUGGGCCCAAGUGAUCCUCGCACUUCAGCCUCUUAAGUAGCAGGACUACAGGCAUGUACCACCACAUAUAGCUACGUUUUGUAUUAUUAUUAUUAUUAUGUUUUUUUGGUAGACACAGGGCUUCGCCAUAUUGCCCAGGAUGGUCUCUUUGAACUCCUAGGCUCAAGCAAUCCACUUGUCUGGGCCUCCCAAAGUGCUCAGAUUACAGGCAUGAGCCACCAUGCCCGGCCCUUCUUUUACUUAAAAAUAGCUUCUGUUUGUUAUUCAGCUGGAUAAGGUCAGAGUGGAAGGUUACUGUCUCAGGGGACCCAUAAUAUUUAUAGCUAAUUGUGAAAUUUAAAUCAUAAAACUAUAGAGUAUAAGUGCUAUAAAUGUAAAAUUUAAGAUUUAGGACUGCUCAUCUUCUGAGUCUCUUAAGAUAAAAAGUGGUAAAUCAUUGUUUUGUUGUUUUAAAUACACUGCAUUUUUUAGAGCAGUUUUAGGUUUAUAGAAGAAUUGAUCAGAAAGCAUAGAGAGUUCCCAAAUACCCUCUCCCCAAACCCCAGUUCCCUAUUAUUAACAUAUUGCAUUAAUGUGGUAUAUUUAUUACAAUUAAUGAACCAAUGUUGAUACAUUAUUAGUAACUAAAAUCCAUAGUUUGCAAGGGCUUACCCUUUGUAUUGUACGGUUCUAUGGAUUUUGACAAAUGUACAAUAACGUGUAUCCACUGUUAGAGUAUCAUACAGAAAAAUCCCCUGUGUACCAUCUAUUCACCCCUCUCCCCUAUUCCCUUAGAAACCCUUGGCAGCCACUGAUCCUUUUGUUUUUAUUUAUUUUUCUUUUUUUUCCCCCUCUACUUAACAAUAUCUCUUAUAUGAAACCACUAAUCUUCUUACUGUCCUAUAGUUUUGCCUUUGCCAGCAUAUCAUAUAGUAGGAAUCCCACAGUGUGGAAUAAUAUAGUAUAUACUGUAUUCCAUUGCAUAUGGGCACCACACUGUGUAUCCAUUUACUCUGUCAGAUACAGUGCCUUCCUGGGACCCACUGCAGGCGCGAAUUCCAGCGACUGGAGGACAGCAGGUCAGCACAUCUCCUAACCGCUACUCAAAUCGAGAAGCAAGAUUCACAGCAUUUCAGACCUCUGUGGACACCCUUCCCAAUCACCAUUUCUUCUUUCCUCCUCAAAGGCUACUUCUACACAGACAUAAUCAAUUUUUGACUAUUUGGCAACUAAGCAUCAUUAAAAUCCUCUCAAACUUCUAAUUGCGAAGAAUCGAUAACAUUUGUAGAAGUUGUAACAUUUCUCUGAACAAGAAAAGAAGUGACUGACCACAUUUUAAAAGUACUCUGGCACUGGUGCUGUUUUUCUUCCCUUCCCUAAAUUUGAAGAACUAUGGAGAAACGGUACUUGAUGACAAUAGUGGUUUUAAUAGGACUAACAGUACGGUGGACAGUCUCUCUUAAUUCUUAUUCAGGUGCUGGAAAACUCCCUGUUUGGUGAUUAUGAAGCUCAGAGACACUGGCAGGAAAUAUCUUUUAAUUUACCAGUCAAAUAAUGUUAUUUUAACAGCAGUGAUAACAAUUUACAGUAUUGGGGAUUGGAUUACCCGCCUCUUACAGCUUAUCAUAGUCUCCUAUGUGCCUAUGCGGCAAAGUUUAUAAAUCCAGACUGGAUUGCUCUUCAUACAUCACAUGGAUACAAGAGUCAGGCAUAUAAGCUCUAUUCAUGCGUACAACAGUUUUAAUCGCUGAUCUGCUGAUUUACAUACCUGCAGUGGUUUUGUACAGCUAUUGUUUAAAAGAAAUCUCAACUAAGAAAAAGAUUGCUAAUGCAUUACGCAUCUUGCUGUAUCCAGGCCUUAUUCUUAUAGACUAUGGACAUUUUCAGUAUCCUUUACUGAUGUAGAAAUGAAGUCGGUUGCAUAUUAUGAAAUCUAGGCUCAAUGUGUACAAUUACUAGAGCUUGUUUAAACCAAAACAAGUCAGUUGCCGUUUAGCAGUAGACUUAAUGUAUUUGAGGCUAUUACACAUGAUUUCAUGUUUGUUUUUCACUUCUGUACUUUGAAUUUCUAUUUGGAAAUAGCUUUCAUCAUAUGUGUUAUUUUAAAAUCACAUAGGAGAUAUGUUCUAUUAAAUGCAAGCUUUGUCUUUUUGAAAAAAUAAAAAUAAAUAAAUAAAUAAUCUUCCUGCUCCUUAAAGCUACUCCAGGUGUGUCCGUGUUGUUUUUUUCUUUUUCUUUUCUUUCUUUUUCUUUUUUUUUGAGAUGGUGUUUCUCUCUUGUUGCCCAGGCUGGAGUGCAGUGGUGUUGUCUCGGCUCACUGCAACCUCUGCCUCCCAGGUUCAAGCAGUGCUACUGCCUCAGCCUCCCAACUAGCUGGGAUUACAGGCAUGUGCCACCAUGCCAGGCUAAUUUUGUAUUUUUAGUAGAGAUGGGGUUUCUCCACGUUGAUCAGGCUGGUCUUGAACUCCUGACCUCAGAUGAUCCAGCUGCCGUGGCCUCCCAAAGUGCUGGGAUUACAGGCGUAAGCCACCGCGCCCAGCCUACAGAAGCUCUUCUUAACUUCUUAGCUAGCAGAGGAUAUCAGGUUUUAAAACCCAAGGCUCAACUCUGCAAAACCUCUGUAAUGUACCCAGGCUUAGUGGUAUCUAAAGGGACCAGAGCAUUGGGGGAAGAUAGGAUUAAGCCUAUCUCCUCCUUCCCCCUCCCAAAACCCUCAAGCAACCUAGAAGAUUUUUGGGUAUUACAGGAUUCCAUAGGCUAUGGAUAACUGGGUAUAGUGAAAUAGCCCAUCCAUUAUAUAACCUCAUAAAAGAAACUUGGGGAGCUAAAACUCAUCUUUUAACCUGGGAACCUGAAGCUCAAAGGCAUUUGACCAGCUAAAGUGAGCCUUGCUCAAGGCACCAGCUCUCAGCCUUCCUGUAGAGAAGGCCUUCAAUCUGUAUAUAUCAGAAAGGAAGGGAGUAGCCCAAGGAGUUUUAACACAGGCCCAAGGACGAGCUCAACUGCCAGUAGGCUACCUAAGUAAGGAACUUGAUUUGGUGGUUAAAGAGUGGCCAACAUGCCUCUGAGCCAUUGCUUCAGUGGCUCUGCUGGUCCCAGAAGUCUGCAAAUUAACCCUGGGGAAUGAUUUAACUGUUUACAACCCACACAAUGUGCAGUACUACUGUACUCUAAAGGAAGGCUU